CAGCAACAUGAAUCAUCACCACUCCACCUAAAUUCCCUUUGCUUGUAUUCAUGUGACAGUUUAGGUUUAUUCCUCACACCACCUUGCACAGCUCUUAGAGGAGCUUCAAAAGUGGGUGCAAUGCAAUUCUUCCCUCCAGUUUCAUUGACAGUACAUCACUUGCUCUUCCUUCUGCAUGAUGAUGGUUUUAGAUCUGCCUUUGAGCCCUUCAAGCUACCAAAUUUGUGUGGCCAGACAGAUUUUGUAGACAGCUGAUUGAGCAUACCUUCUAAAAGUAGAUCACACAGAGACUUUGCUCCUUCUUCAAGCCUCCUGUGGAGAUUGCUAAAAAAUGAAGACUGACUCUCGAUACUUCCAGGAGCUCUCUGGGACAUGGUAGUGGAUUAGAGGCUGACAUCAUGAAAAGGAAGGCAGGAGAAAAGCAAGAAGGACAGAAAACAUUUGCAGUUAACUCAUGGGUGGCAGUUACAAACAAAACUGCAGAAGUUACAAGCUUGGCUCUGCUGCUGGGCUCUUCUUUUAACUCAUCUCCUCUGAAAACAACCAGUUUUUGAGGACUAUCAGAGUUGUGGAUUGAAACAUACUUUUCCAGAGUAUUCUCUUCCUAUGAUGAAAAUGAACCCAGAGGAAUAUAAGUGUCCUAUUCCCAGCAGCAGUGAUCCAUUUCCCUUGGCAACAUAUGUCUGAUGCCACAGAUACUACAAGGUCGUUGGGUUGCUUUACAACUCUGGGUAACUUCCCACGGCAACAUCAUACGUCUAGCACCAUGUCGUAGUGUUGUUGCUCUUUCUUCCGCCUGCCACAUUUGUUGAUAAGAACCAUGUACAAAGUCAAAAGCAAAACCCAGUAACAUGCAUAGAGUAUUGUGCCAAUGAUGAGAACUGUCUGUUUUGACUCAGAAAAUGGCUUUUUUGAUUCCUUGUAAAUAGUGAAAAUUACGCCACCUAGGAGGAUUGUAAACCAAAUGGAGACUGGAAUGAGUCCUAUAAAAUUAACUACAAUGGUUUUCCUUCCUGACGUGCCCCACCCUGCUUUGUUUAUCGUGGCAAUUGCAAACAUCUUUGCUGGCAGUAAACUUGACAUGUACAACACUGAGUAGAGUGACAUGAAAACCAUGACAAUGUUGCCCCUAAGGAAGCUGGCAAAGGAAGACUUUAUCAGGCCAACUAACUGAACUGUCAACAGGAAGAGGAGAAUGUUCCAGAUUUUUCCCCUGUAGAAGAGCUGAAUGACUGUGGCAAUAAGGAAGAAAGGAAAGAAUCCAGUGAUUACAGCUUCAUAGGUCAUCCACAAAUGGUGCUUGUGGAACCACAUGGCAUUAUAAAGCCACUCUCUAAAGUAGGAUUUACUCCAGCGGGUCUGCUGAUUCAGCCACCUGAGAUACUCUAUCGGUGUUUCCGUAAGGCACUUGGAUCUAGCUGUGUAUUUUGUUGCAUAGCCCAGACUUAGCACUCUGUUAGUUAGAUGCCUGUCAUCUCCAAAGCUGCACUGGGAGCCCAUAAACUCUUGAUUGUACCAAUCUUCCACAAAUUCAUGGAGUAAAGAGUUUCUGUACAUUCCCAGAGGUCCACUGAUGCACUGCACACAGCCAAAGUAGGAUUGACAGGCUCUUUCGAUGUUAAAUGCCAUCCAGUAUCUCACGCUGCUCAGAAAGGAGAUCCAGGAAUCAUAUUUGUUCAAAAUCUGCAAAAUAAAAAAAAAAAGUUUUCCUUUUAGAUGAGCUUUUAAAACAGAAAAUGUGCACAUUGGUUCAAUAAGGGAUUUGCUGAGACUAGAGCACCAUUAGAUGAAUUGUGGUGGGAACCUCACUCCUGUGUUCAACUCAUGGCAAACCCAUGAGGGAGCUACACAAACAUUUCCGCCAGGACACUGACAGGAAGGGUGAGAUGAAACCUUCAAAUGUCUGUUUCACCUAGAGGUUAUUUUUUUCCUUGCAACCUUUCAAAUUCUCCACAAUGAAAUUUCCUUAUUUUCUAUCUCAUUUUUCCUUCCCUUUUGCCCCCAGUUAGACCUGCUGGAUUUAGAUUUUACCAAGAGGAGCUGGUGAGUUCAUGGCCUCCUGCUGCUUUCCUGCCUGUACACACCUUCAGGGCUCACAGGACUCCUUCCAGGCCUCCCAAAAUGAUGCUGGAGCAUGAGAAAAGCGGAGUACAUGGUUUUUGCCCUCCAUUUUUAGUAUCACAAGUCUGGCCUUAGAGGUUUAACCUUGAACUGUGUCCCCAUAUCUAGCAUUCCUCUGAGGAGCAACCUGUUCUGUCUUUGCAGUACCAGCCUGUUACCUUGUCCCAAGACAUAUGGUGACACUCCAGUAGAGCCUUCCUCAGGCCCACAUAAAUGUCUCAGUCUUUCUCUUCUGUCCAUCCAGUCUGAACACUCAGUGGAUGCAUGAGCACAUGCAGAUGCACAAGUCUGUGGCUACACAUCCAGGUUCUCAACACACACCUUGUGCCAGAGGAUGUGACAAGGAAGUGUGCAGAUCUUUCGCCUUCUACAACUAUAAAGCACUGCCCUGCAACUAGGAAAAUAUAGUCUUUUGCUCUGAUGAUCCUAAUUUCUGUCAGUUUUAAUUCCAGAACAUAUUAGAAGAAGCAGGGCUUAGGGAUAGGCUCAAGCCUGGCUCAAAUGUGUUUGGUGUAUGCUGGAAAAUGAACUGAAAAGCCCAAAGCCUUCAUUCUGUCACCUUUCCUCACAGAGGAUACACAUCCUUCCCAAUGCAGAUGCUUAUGAACCUUCACUGUCACAGCUGAACCUGUACUGCCUCCCUUCACUUGUACUCACACAUGCCUGGAAUUUCACAUGCAUGGGCUGUGUCGCCUGGUUUGUGGUCAGUCUAGAGCUCCAAAGCUAUUCAGAUUUCUGUGGGAAUCCUAAUUUCUGGAGUUAUGAGCCACAUGCCUGAAAUACUUCUGACUACUUGGGCGUUCAUUAGCAAGUUCUUGCUCAUUUACAUAGCUCUUUCUCCUCUGUCUCACAAAAAAAGCCCAACUGAGUACGGGGGACUGAUCUUAAGGCUAACUGACAUAUUCAUACACAUUUCUCUUUAUAAAUUGCAGCAGGAGUUUUGUCAAAAGGUACCAACAGCCUUUUGCUGUAGUAAUCAGCCAAACUCAGUAAUGCUGAAAAUCCUAACACACAUGGAACUGGUCUGACUUGGAAGUUUUCUACUGCCCUGCCUGACAGAGAUGGGAGACCCAAUAACACAUAGAGUGCACAGUGCAGAGUGUUUCAAAAUUACUUUUUAUUUCUAACAAUCUUGCCUGCCAGUAGUAAUAUAAUUGAAGUGCUUGAGGUUGCUGGACAUGGCUAUGGGACACCUGCUGUCAAUUUCCUGGCCCCCUAUAGCUUUUCUUCAGUACCUUGAGCAAGCAGCUAUACCCAGAGACUGAAAGAUGCCACAACAAUCCUGACAAUACCUGUGCCCCCCUUUUCACAUAUAGGGGCAGAAUAUUAUUUGUUUGCUUGCUUUGGAUGUUAAAACUAUACAGUGCUCACAUCCAAGAAGAGUUUCCAUUCAAUGGACAAAAAAGUUAAGGUAUAUGCAUAUUAUAUAUAUGCAUAUAGUAUAUACACAUAAAUUAUAUUUAAUGCUAUUUCAGUCAGAGAAAUCUGUUGCAAUGCAAAUAGUUGCUGAAACACCUCUGUUAAUCUGAAAAUUGUUGUACUCACCUGCACAUCACCUCCAACUCCUCCGACCAUUGGAUCUUCUUCUAAAACUUUUACCAUCUCCACUGAUGAGGCUGGAUCAAGCAUUGUAUCUGAAUCACAGACCUACAAGUAAGAAAAAACAAGAACAAAAAUGGGUUAAGGAGUAGAUUACAGAAGAAAAUAAAAAUCAUGCAAGUAAUUAUAAUUACUCUAAAUGCAUAUUCUCCUGAAUGCAAUUAAAUCUGACUUUGAAGUCUGCACUGAUAUUUCUGUUAAAGGUCACUUGUACCAGGCAGCAAGGCAUAGUGCUGCACAAAACACAGAGCUUGUUAAGGCUGUGCACACAAACAAUCCUCUGUAUCAGCUCCAUUUGUUUUACUGGCACACUGGACUGGCUUCUUCGAAUAAGAUAUGGGGCACUGCAGAAUAAGAUGGUGUUUGUGGGUGUGCAGCAGAUUCCUGUUGUGCUCCGACACAGAGUUUCUCUGCAUCAGCUGCACAGUUGGAGCACCCUGGUCAAAUGUUUCCCAUUGCCAUAUGAGGGAAAGAGUGAGGAGUUAAAUCCCAGGCACUUGUUAUUAAAAGGAAAAAAGUCAAGUAGGAGUCUGGGAAGAAACCUAAUCGUUCUUUCACUCACAGAAGGGUUUAGCAAUUCAUGUAAAAUAUGUGUCUUAUAUUUCAGAACAAACUCAUUUUUAAUUUUAGAUUCAUGAUGUGUUAUUAGUAGUGCAGGGAUUUGACAUUUGAUGUGGAGAAAUUAUUUGCUGUUUUUCUCUGGCAUUCCUAUAAAAAGAUAUGUAAGGCCAAAGGCGUGAGUCCCAAAGUUCGGUACUCCAAAAGAGCACUGCAGAAGUAAAUGACACACAAGGCAUUUCAGCUACACAAACACUCCUAGUCAACUAAACACUGUGUACAUUAGGAAAUUGGCUUUCCCCUGGAGAGUAGGAGGAGGGCUCAGACAGGCUGGCUGGUCUGUGAGACAGCUGGCAUUGCUUUCGUUCGCUCUGAGGAGAAUGACUUGGGCUGCAGCCUGUUUAAAACAAGAGGGUGUCUCCUUGUUGCAGUUACUGCAGCUGAAAGAACUGGCCACAUCGUGUGUGAACUCAUUUCACAGACACCCAGGAACUGGAGCAGAGACUGUCCCAGAAACACCCCUCUGACUGGCUGAAUCCCACCCUACAAAUUCUCAUACUGCCUCCAGUUUGUCCCUACAUUGCAUUCCUGUGACUUCAGACAGGGUCAGUAGGAGCAAGUCAGCAGCUCCGCCUAAACAGCAUAUUAAGACAGAUUCUGCUGAGGCUUUGUAAUGGGUAUCCUAAUUUUGGUGUCCUUUCAUGCAACCUUUCAAUUCAACCUAAGCCCUCUCACUCCAGGGGAGAGGUAACCUUUACAUCUACCCUAUGAAGUGGGAGGAGAGCACUGGGGCUUUGCUCUGGACCAGACUCAAGAGGAGAGGUUAUCCAGGAUAGUUGGACUGCAUAGUUUCGGAUGCAGCUGGGACUCUGCCAGCAUGCUCCCCUCCAUGCUCACUCAGAGGGGGCCAAAAGGAGAAAGGUGAUGAAAGCUCUCAUAUCUCUGUCAGGAGAAAAGCCACAAGCAUCUCCAGCUCCCACUAACUUGAUGCAUCCAUCUCCCCUCCUCAAUGGCCUCAUCCCACAGCAUCUUUGUAACCUGGCCAAGGCCUGACUCCACCUUUAGUGGAAAGCUGUCAUCAGUGGCAGCACUGGGAGAUAGAAAGGGAACAAAAUAGUUCUACUGAAGAGGGAAAACAAUGCCUAUACUUUUACUUGGGUCUUCCUGGACAAACUUGUUGCUGAGUGCUUUGCACAAGCAAUCUGUAGUUUGCUGAAUUUCCAGGGUGUUCAGGCAGUAACAGGCAUGUCAUUUCUUGUGACCAUGAGUGGUGGGCUGGUAUCACCUGCCUCCUAGUCCCUCUGCUUUCCCUCCAGCACCUGCCACUUGAGCAGCUCCCACCCCAUUAGAUGUAUUUACCUUUGGCAGAAAGGCCUGCCCAUGAGCCACAUUACUAAUAUAUUAGAGAUGAGGAAUCCUGAAAACACUGGAUUUUUUUAACAAAACACCAUCGCAUGUCCUGCGCAUGUCAGCACAGUGGGUAUGUCUGGGUUUCUGAGACAAAUCUAACAAGCCAUCAUUUUCCAUCUGGAUGAGGUUUUUGCAGGUGAAUAGAAAAUACACCCAGAGAAACACAGACACUUAGAAGCCCAAAUAAACACUGACACCUGCCUAGCCAGGGUGUGCCCAGGAGACAAUUUGCCAUCUUUCCACAUAAGAGCUGAGUGACCCAAACAUCACUACUUUGGGUCACAGAGUUACAUGAAGGGGACAACUGACCUUAAGGGAGCUGUUCUUUUACUUGCUAUAGGCAAUGAUGGUUUGGCCAAGCUGCUCUGAGUUCAGACUGCACUGGACUGUCCACACGGGCACCUCCAUCAAGCCAAGAUGAAUUGCACUCUGGUUAGCUCACAACUCUGCACUGAUAAUACCUGCCAGUUUAACUCCUCCACCUGAUUACUUCCACAGUCAUAAACCCUUCUAGGAUGGAAACAAGCCUUCAUAGCAGUUUUCAGUUUCAGUUUUUAAUGAGACACCACUACUGAGGAACAGCUCGUUAUCUGCACUGGUCUGACUGUUUAUGAUUGCCUGUUCAUAAUUCCAGGAUGUCUUCUGAGAACUGUAAGGCCUACAAUUUUGAGAGUGGGCAGUGGUGCUGACUGGCCACUUUUAAAAGUGCUUAAUCAUUGAUACAGACUGCUUAACCCUUGAAAUAUAGGGCUUGUUUAAAGUAAUUUACCCUGGGUCUCCCCAAAGGACCAUUUGAAAUAUCUCAACCUUUAUUCAUUCAUAAAACAGAGCCACAUUUUAGCUGCCUUUUCUUAUGACUCUGCGGUAGCCAGGGCCACUAAGGGGCUGCAUUUCUACUACAGAUGUGACUGUAGAUGUGACUGUGGCAUCAGUCACUACUGCAGACUGUGCUCACAGCAGCACUACAGUCUCUGACAAAUUCAUUAGACCUUCUGAGCCAGGUCUGGAAUGUUAACUGAAUAGAAAUAUCUCUUCUAUUUUCUGAAUUUAUGCUAUGACUGUUGAAGUAGAAAUACUUUUUCCAGGUUCCCUGAAAAACACAAGAGCUGAACUGAGGGAGGAAACUUGCAAUGAAUCUGCUCCCUCUCUGCCUUCUUUCUCUGCAAUCUGGAAUGUCUGUGUGAUUAUAAACCCAUGCUAAUAAAGAAAAUCAGCAUUUUUAUCCCAUCAUAGUUCCUCACAGCACAAAACCAAGGCGCAGACAAUGGAGAGCUUAAGCUCAUUGUUUUGAAAGAAUAAAUCAGUUUCAGUUUGGGAAGUGGUGGAGGAUGGGGUUUAAAUCUUGGCUUUACUCUCCUUGCUCCAAUAACAGAGCAGUUCCUGGCACUCUUCCGUUUCUGCCCCUCCUGUGCACUGAGGACUCGCUGCUCUCAGCCCAGCUACUGGCAGCCCCUCCAGGUCCCUGGGACACUGCACGUGGAUGCUGUGCUGUGCAGAGCGUGCACACACACCCACACAAGGCUGGGCACAGGCCCCAGGAACACAUGUGGCUCACCCUGCAGCUGCCCUGAGCCAGCAGAGAGCACCUCACGGGGAGCUGCUGCUCCACUGCAGGAGACUGCUGGAUGCUCUGAGUGUGGGAGAAGCUUGGAAGCACUGAGGGUGGUUCAUUGGGAAAAUAAUGUCCUAUUCAGUGGGAUUAGUCAAAUAAGCCUUCUUGGCCUAGAUUUCUAAGGAAGGGUCCUCAGUGUCCAGCCAGAGUAUCUGAUCCCACCCGCCUUCCUCCACACAUGAACCUUUCCCCUUCCCACAGUCAGCAGGGCUGUUUGCAGGAGCGAGGAACGCUUCCAUGUAAGUAAGGCAAAAACAUAGACAAUCUUUCAGGGGAUCCAAGGCAGCUGGAAAGAAAUGUGCCUCUGCUGCUUUGGAAACAGGGAGAGAGGACCCAGCCUAAUUCAUUUUUAAGUGAGUAGUGUGUCAUAAGGGCCUUAAAGGCCAAGUUGCAGUGAGUGAGGUAAUGCAGCUGUGAUGAAGGAAAAGCUCCUUCAGCCUUUAGCUGAAGAAAUUUUCUUUCAAAUCUACACAUUGACCCUUUUAUUGAACACUCCACAUGGCCUUCAAAGCCUUUAAAAUAUAUCUCCAUCUUUUUUACAGACUUCACCACUUCUCCAAGAUAUUCCCUAGUGAGACCAAAUACCUGUCUGUCUGCUCGUAUAUGAGGCUGCUAACAAACUCACAAAAUAAAGCCUUACCUGAGACCUUCACCUACAGGAGCGGAGAUGGGGCUUUCGGGAGGUCAUUGGCUUUGUCUGAAGCAAAACCAUUUAGAUGAGGGGGCAGUACUGAAGGCACCUUCACCUAACCCAGUGGAGCUGAACCCAGUAUGAGUUUUACACAGCCUCCAGCAAGCAGACCCAAGUAAGGUUUGCAUGCACAAGGUUUGAGUAACCAAUGUGGAAAGAAUUCUAUGGCUUUAGGUUGGAUCUGACCCUCAUGUACACAAUAAUACACUAGUUGUUAAAUGAAAAGAAAAGAAAAGAAAAGAAAAGAAAAGAAAAGAAAAGAAAAGAAAAGAAAAGAAAAGAAAAGAAAAGAAAAGAAAAGAAAAGAAAAGAAAAACCAACCCAAAAAAAUCCCCAGACAAAUGGUCCAAGAAACAAAACAGAAAGUAAAUCAUAUUUCUACUCAGAUAUUUUACAUUGUGGUUAAACAAAAAUCUAGCAUAGGAAUGUUUUCUGGUUGCUGAUUAGGAAUACUUUGCUGCUCUAUACACUAAUCUUGAAUAGCAAAAAAAUGGAGCAAAUAUGCUUUCAUGUCACAAAUAUGAAGACUUGAGUUUUUCCUAGUGAACUUGCCUGAAAAACUCCACUGAAUCCUGUAGAGCAGCUCUUCCUACUGGGAAAACCUUGACCCAGGUUUUUCUAUGCUUGGAUGCAGGGUAAGAAAGAUUUAUUACCCUUAUCUAGUCCUCAAAAGAACCCUCAAGGCACCCAUGUUACACACAAUGUGUGCUUUCAAAAAACUGUAUGGGUGCCAAUGGAAAAAGGCGGAAGAUUAUGAAGCAGAGUGAAACAUGGAGAAGCAGCUGUGCCCUAAGAGAUGUAGGGUCACUGCAGCCCUGCAGAAUCACAGAACCCUUAGGGUUAGAAGGGACCUGUGAAGAUCGUGGAGUCCAAGACUCCAGGUAUGGUCACUAGAGCAGGUGACACAAGAACGUGGCCAGGUGGGUUUGGAGUGUCUCCAGAGGGGAACACCCCACAACCUCCCUGAGAAACCUGUUUGGUGCCCUGCCAUCCUCAACGUGAAGCUCUUCCUCCUGUUGAUGUGGAACUUUUGGCCUUAGUUUAAGGCCAUUGCUCCUCAUCCUGUCGCUGGGCACCACGGAAAAGAGUCCGGCACUGAUCCUCUUGGCACCCGCCUUUGAGAUAUGUAUGUGUACUAAUGAGAUCCCCUCUCCGUCUUCUCUAGACUAAGACACCGCCCAUCAGGAGCGCUGCACUACAAUGGGAUCCUC
Long non-coding RNA from Passer domesticus (house sparrow), 9202 nucleotides. RefSeq lists it as uncharacterized. The transcript has 7 exons. The record is from RefSeq and is a predicted model, not a curated record. NCBI's taxonomy places the organism in Eukaryota, Metazoa, Chordata, Aves, Passeriformes, Passeridae.